RNAcentral lists this unclassified non-coding RNA (374 nucleotides) under uncultured bacterium. RNAcentral's name for it is "contains 16S-23S intergenic spacer region". The record is from RNAcentral.
UCCGGUUUGGCACCGGCAGUCUCCCACGAGUCCCCGCCAUUACGCGCUGGCAACAUAGGAUAAGGGUUGCGCUCGUUGCGGGACUUAACCCAACAUCUCACGACACGAGCUGACGACAGCCAUGCACCACCUGUGAUAGGCCCAAAAGGACACCAUAUCUCUAUGGCUUUUCCUACCAUGUCAAACCCAGGUAAGGUUCUUCGCGUUGCCUCGAAUUAAGCCACAUACUCCACCGCUUGUGCAGGCCCCCGUCAAUUUCUUUGAGUUUUAACCUUGCGGCCGUACUCCCCAGGCGGAGAGCUUAAUGCGUUAGCUGCGUCACCAAUAAGCAUGCUUACUGACAACUAGCUCUCAUCGUUUAAGGCGUGGACUAC